UCACAUAGUGAUCCUUCUUCAAGCUUCUAAUCAACACUCCCAGCAAGUGAAACGGGAGAGGACCCGAUCGCUUCGGUUCUCUAUAGUAUUUUCCUAAAACCGGUUUCGCUGCCUCCGUCUCUUCUAUUAGAUUGUAAUGUGGGAUCUGGGGAAAGAGGUGAUGAAUGACGUGAGUCCCAAUAUCAUGAUGAACGUUGUUGAGCCAACCGUAGUCGCGAUCAAGGGUAGUUAACCCGCCUCUCAUAUAAUUCCAUUCCUGUAAGAAUUCAAUUUCAUACAAAAUUAAUAAUUAAGCUGUUCAUUAUAGGUACAUAAAUUUACUAUCCAUUUUCUUAUGAUCAAUACCUCCCCACGAUACCAAGGAAGCUUAUCAUCGUGACCAUGGUGAUGCAAGUAAGUUACUAGGUCUAGCCACAUAACAAAAAGCUGCAUGGAUUAAUAAUAAUAAUGAGCAACUGUAAUUGAUGAUCAAUAUUAAAAAUGCUAUCUAUCAGAAGCUAGCAGCUGCUAAAACUAACCCAAUAUGGAAUGCCAUAUAGUUUAACCAAUUGAAUUGGUCCCAUUACAAAAGAUAAGCAGACAAGAAGACCAGCCAUGGCUGACCAGCAGACUGUAGAAGUAAUCACGUCUUUUCGCUCACUUCGGACAAACAAAUCACUGUUUGGGUCGAAAUGGGAGCCCGACUUUCCUGGACUUCUACUCCACUGUGUUUGACAACAACAACAACAAUAAUAAUAUAAGCCUAAAUCAUUUGAAAUGAUUCUUUAGACAAUGAAUUUGGUUUCAACAGCAUGCAUGCAUGCAUAUGCAUGAUUGUAUUAAUUGUUGUACCAGAUAGAAAGGAUAUGCAAGCAUGGGGAAUGGCAAAGUGAAUCUCAACAACUUUGUAGCUUUGUCCAAACUCUUGUAAAUCUUCUCAGGCAACUGAAAUUUCAAAAAUCACAACCUUGUUUGUGGGUAUAUAAUACUCAAGAUUCAAAAAGAAGAAAAAAAAUUAGUUUUUCUACUAGGGUAAUUGAAGAAGCUUGAAUUGACUUGACUCACUGGAUGCCAUGAUUCAUCGUUUUCAACAUGACCAUGAUUCUGAUGGUGAGUUCUGUGGCUGAUUCUCCUGAAUUUGUAGUCAAAUUUCUCACUCAGACAUUAUGUCAAACACGUUAUAUGCAGAGAAAUGGGGGUGAUUUAAAAGAGACAAACCAUCCAUGGUAAGGGACCAGAAUUGAAGAGUGAAGAAGAUGCCCAGCCACACUGUUCAGUUUAGGAUUGUUCGAAAAGCUUCCAUGACCACUACAAUCACGAAAUACAAAUCAAAGAGAGAAACAGAGGAGGAAGAAGAAGAUUAAACUGAAAAAAUUUCAGUAGGAAAAAAGGGUUUCCUCACCAAUCAUGGCCGAGAACAAACAAAGCCCAGAACAUGGUCCCUUGCGCAAGCCAGUAGAGAGGCCAAACCACCCAAUUGUUGAAAUAAGCCGCUGCAGCCGCCAGACCAAACACAAUAGCCACAUCUCUGACAACGUAGCUCAUAGAUUUCCAUGGAUCCUUCACCCAACAAUGUUUGGGAAUUGCCGCUCGAAUGUCGGCCAGCUUGAACGGAGGCGGCGCACCAGGAUCGAACUCCUCCUGGUACUGGACGUCAUUGAUCCUCUCUUCACCCCCCUCAUCUACAGAUUGAACUUUCAAUGGAACGCUCACCUUCAGUCCCCAAUUCCUAUCUCUAAACCCAAUCAACGACCGGUAAGGAUGAGACCCUAUUACCGAUUUGAUCUGCAACUUAGAAGGAGUAGUAUUAUUGGGUCUGAAAGAGUUGUAUCCCCUUCCGGAUUGAGGAUAUACCAGUGGGAGGGGUCUUAAGCCGCAUUCAGAUAAGACCCAUGUCGCCAUAGGAGACC
Long non-coding RNA from Impatiens glandulifera, 1889 nucleotides. RefSeq lists it as uncharacterized. The transcript is spliced from 2 exons. The record is from RefSeq and is a predicted model, not a curated record. Lineage: Eukaryota; Viridiplantae; Streptophyta; Magnoliopsida; Ericales; Balsaminaceae.